This 506-nucleotide ribosomal RNA is filed under the name uncultured bacterium. RNAcentral describes it as "partial 16S ribosomal RNA". It matches the Rfam family "Bacterial small subunit ribosomal RNA", at positions 29 to 523 of the family's 1533-position model. The record is from RNAcentral.
AGUGAACGCUGGCGGUAGGCCUAACACAUGCAAGUCGAACGGCAGCACAGGAGAGCUUGCUCUCUGGGUGGCGAGUGGCGGACGGGUGAGGAAUACAUCGGAAUCUACUCUGUCGUGGGGGAUAACGUAGGGAAACUUACGCUAACACCGCAUACGACCUACUGGUGAAAGCAGGGGACCUUCGGGCCUUGCGCGAUGGAAUGAGCCGAGUUCGGAUUAGCUAGUUGGCGGGGUAAAGGCCCACCAAGGCGACGAUCCGUAGCUGGUCUGAGAGGAUGAUCAGCCACACUGGAACUGAGACCCCGUCCAGACUCCUGCGGGAGGCAGCAGUGGGGAAUAUUGGACAAUGGGCGCAAGCCUGAUCCAGCCAUACCGCGUGGGUGAAGAAGGCCUUCGGGUUGUAAAGCCCUUUUGUUGGGAAAGAAAUCCAGCUGGCUAAUACCCGGUUGGGAUGACGGUACCCAAAGAAUAAGCACCGGCUAACUUCGUGCCAGCAGCCGCCGUAA